GUAGGGAAUAUUGGGCAAUGGUCGGAAGACUGACCCAGCCAUGCCGCGUGCAGGAAGACGGCCCUCUGGGUUGUAAACUGCUUUUAUCUGGGAAGAAAAAGGCCAUGCGUGGCAAAUUGCCGGUACCAGAUGAAUAAGCACCGGCUAACUCCGUGCCAGCAGCCGCGGUAAUACGGAGGGUGCGAGCGUUGGCCGGAUUUAUUGGGUUUAAAGGGUGCGUAGGCGGCUGAUUAAGUCAGCGGUGAAAGACUUCGGCUUAACCGGAGCAGUGCCGUUGAUACUGGUUGGCUUGAGUGUCGGAGGGGUACAUGGAAUUGAUGGUGUAGCGGUGAAAUGCAUAGAUACCAUCAGGAACACCGAUAGCGAAGGCAUUGUACUGGCCGACAACUGACGCUGAUGCACGAAAGUGUGGGGAUCGAACAGGAUUAGAAACCCCAGUAGUCC
This 444-nucleotide ribosomal RNA is filed under the name uncultured bacterium. RNAcentral's name for it is "partial 16S ribosomal RNA". It matches the Rfam family "Bacterial small subunit ribosomal RNA", at positions 354 to 796 of the family's 1533-position model. The record is from RNAcentral.